UUGGAGGGCAAGUCUGGUGCCAGCAGCCGCGGUAAUUCCAGCUCCAAUAGCGUAUAUUAAAGUUGUUGCAGUUAAAAAGCUCGUAGUUGAACCUUGGGCCUGGCUGGCCGGUCCGCCUCACCGCGUGCACUGGUCCGGCCGGGCCUUUCCUCCUGGGGAGCCGCAUGCCCUUCACUGGGUGUGUCGGGGAACCAGGACUUUUACUUUGAAAAAAUUAGAGUGUUCAAAGCAGGCCUAUGCUCGAAUACAUUAGCAUGGAAUAAUAGAAUAGGACGUGUGGUUCUAUUUUGUUGGUUUCUAGGACCGCCGUAAUGAUUAAUAGGGAUAGUCGGGGGCAUCAGUAUUCAAUUGGCAGAGGUGAAAUUCUUGGAUUUAUUGAUGACUAACUACUGCGAAAGCAUUUGCCGAGGACGUUUUCAUUAAUCAAGAACGAAAGUUAGGGGAUCGAAGACGAUCAGAUACCGUCGUAGUCUUAACCAUAAACUAUGCCGACUAGGAAUCAGACGAUGUUAAUUUUUUAAUGACUCGUUUGGCACCUUACGGGAAACCAAGUGUUUGGGU
Molecule: ribosomal RNA, 561 nt
Filed under: uncultured Pezizomycotina
Lineage: Eukaryota; Fungi; Ascomycota
Description: SSU rRNA
Rfam family: Eukaryotic small subunit ribosomal RNA
Source: RNAcentral